Long non-coding RNA from Frieseomelitta varia, 899 nucleotides. RefSeq lists it as uncharacterized. The transcript has 3 exons. NCBI's taxonomy places the organism in Eukaryota, Metazoa, Arthropoda, Insecta, Hymenoptera, Apidae. The record is from RefSeq and is a predicted model, not a curated record.
UAUGGAUAAUUUCCGGAAAUUAAGAAAGCUGCUUCAUCGAGGAAUUUGCAAACGAAACGCAACAAUGGCAUUUGAAAUGACACACAGCAUGUGUGUAUCCCGUAUGUCGUGUGUGAAUCGAUAGUGGUUCGUAUCCAGCGUUGCGUAAAAUGACGUCAAUUGGCGCGUAAGAAUUAUAAAUUUGCUUUCUUCUUUGGAUCUAUUUGAAGGCUAUUGGAGGCCUUAACUGUGAAAAAUGUAGAAUAUAAUUUCUAAGACAUUGUUACACACACUGGAGAUAUAGUAUGUGGGUACACAUUUAUAUUGUAGGAGAAUUGAAAUUGACUCGCAACGAUUAAUUUUUAAUUCUGUGGCUAAAGAAGUUUCGGACUGACCCAGUUUAACAGGUUACAAAAUAUCAUAACUCUUCAACGAUAACGAUCAUUCAAAUUUUCCGUUGUUUCUUAGCGAGACAUUAAAUUGAACUAAAAAAAUAACACACUGCUUUCAGAAAUCGUCUCGAAAAUCGAAUUAGCAAAGAGUUGCUUAACGCGUUUAAAUCAUAUUUUUAUCAAUUUUCCUUCUCCAUUAGAGGAUCGAAUGGUGAGUGAAACGAAAGAAGCGAGAAUAUUUUCUAUUUAUUUGUUUGCCAUUUCCACUCGCAAGCAGAUAUAAUUCCCACGUGAAGAAGCUUCACGUUAAAGGAAUUACACGUCGCGCUACGAAACGAAUUCCUCAAGUUCAAAUCAGAUUAACUUGCAUGAAAGUUACUACGAAAUGGGAAGCAUUUUAUAAAUUAUAUUUUGGCAACACUCGCCGCCGGGCAGGACAGAGGAGUCCCGAAAGAAAGUGCGCCGUACAAUUAAGAUUUUAACCACUUGCGCUGGCAACUGAUUGCGGACCAUAACGAGUGACCGAAC